This 468-nucleotide ribosomal RNA is filed under the name uncultured bacterium. Its description in RNAcentral is "partial 16S ribosomal RNA". It matches the Rfam family "Bacterial small subunit ribosomal RNA", at positions 28 to 507 of the family's 1533-position model. The record is from RNAcentral.
GACGAACGCUGGCGGCGUGCUUAACACAUGCAAGUCGAACGGAAAGGCCCUGCUUUUGUGGGGUGCUCGAGUGGCGAACGGGUGAGUAACACGUGAGUAACCUGCCCUUGACUUUGGGAUAACUUCAGGAAACUGGGGCUAAUACCGGAUAGGAGCUCCUGCUGCAUGGUGGGGGUUGGAAAGUUUCGGCGGUUGGGGAUGGACUCGCGGGUUAUCAGCUUGUUGGUGGGGUAGUGGCUUACCAAGGGUUUGACGGGUAGCCGGCCUGAGAGGGUGACCGGCCACAUUGGGACUGAGAGACGGCCCAGACUCCUAUGGGAGGCAGCAGUGGGGAAUAUUGCACAAUGGGCGGAAGCCUGAGGCAGCAACGCCGCGUGCGGGAUGACGGCCUUCGGGUUGUAAACCGCUUUCGCCUGUGACGAAGCGUGAGUGACGGUAAUGGGUAAAGAAGCACCGGCUAACUACGUG